GAUGAACGCUGGCGGCGUGCCUAAUACAUGCAAGUCGAGCGAACAGAUGAGGAGCUUGCUCCUCUGACGUUAGCGGCGGACGGGUGAGUAACACGUGGAUAACCUACCUAUAAGACUGGGAUAACUUCGGGAAACCGGAGCUAAUACCGGAUAAUAUAUUGAACCGCAUGGUUCAAUAGUGAAAGACGGUUUUGCUGUCACUUAUAGAUGGAUCCGCGCCGCAUUAGCUAGUUGGUAAGGUAACGGCUUACCAAGGCAACGAUGCGUAGCCGACCUGAGAGGAUGAUCGGCCACACUGGAACUGAGACACGGUCCAGACUCCUACGGGAGGCAGCAGUAGGGAAUCUUGCGCAAUGGGCGAAAGCCUGACGGAGCAACGCCGCGUGAGUGAUGAAGGUCUUCGGAUCGUAAAGCUCUGUUGUUAGGAAAGAACAGAUGUGUAAGUAACUAUGCCCGUCUUGACGGUACCUAAUCAGAAAGCCACGGCUAACUACGUG
Molecule: ribosomal RNA, 497 nt
Filed under: uncultured bacterium
Lineage: Bacteria
Description: partial 16S ribosomal RNA
Rfam family: Bacterial small subunit ribosomal RNA
Source: RNAcentral